AAUUGUUCCUGGAGAGGAAACAUAACAGAAAGCUUUAAAAAUUAUUGGAAGCAGGAAUUUGGCCUCCUAACUGUGUAUAUUUUUAAAAGAAUAUGCUACAUGAUCAGAAAAAAAUAAAAAAAUAUCGUAAAUCAAGAAAAAUGCUACAGCCAUAAUUUAUUCAUGAGUAAUCAAUCCCCAGAUCUUUUCUGCUAGACCACUGAGAAGGGAAUUGGGGAUUCUCCCCUGCGAUUUCCAUCCGUGAAGGAUAUGCUGUCUCGCCUUCCACCAAUGGCUCUUGAUUCCUCCUCUUGUUUCCUUUGUGGUUAACUACCCACAAAGUAGAUCUGGACAGUAUGAAUCACACACAUAAAAUAAAGACUUUCAGUUCAUCUUCAAUAAAACAGAAUAUUCUUUAAGCCCGCAUUGCUGGAGGAAAAUGAUUUCAUUAACAGAAACAUUUGGACAAGACACCAGAUGAUGCCUUUCACCUGCCAUAGCAAUUAAAAUGUCUCUAAUAAAAUACCAUCGAGAUAAAUUAUGAUUCUUUAUUUGGAGCUCAUCAAGAAGACCUA
This 554-nucleotide long non-coding RNA is filed under the name Chinchilla lanigera (long-tailed chinchilla). Its description in RNAcentral is "lncRNA (ENSCLAG00000024812.1)". The record is from RNAcentral. Lineage: Eukaryota; Metazoa; Chordata; Mammalia; Rodentia; Chinchillidae.